Molecule: ribosomal RNA, 534 nt
Filed under: uncultured eukaryote
Lineage: Eukaryota
Description: bacterial SSU rRNA
Rfam family: Eukaryotic small subunit ribosomal RNA
Source: RNAcentral
GUUAAAGUUGCUGCAGUUAAAAAAGCUCGUAGUUGAACGUUCGGGGUUCCGCGGGACGGGGCCGCCCCGCGAGGGACGGCGCCGCCCCGGGGCUCGUGAUAUCUUAUCUCGCCGCCCGUCGCGAGGCGGACGGAGGGGAUGGAUGAGGUUACCUGGAAAAAAUCGGGGCGAUCUAGGCGGGCGAACCUCGCCAACGAACGAUCGGACAUGGGAUAACGGAAGAGGGCGUCGGCUCGACUUCGCGGUUCCUCGGGGCCGAGGCACGUACGGUGAAUAGGGACGGUCGGGGCCGCCCGUACCGGGUCGUGAGAGGUGAAAUUCUAGGAUCGACCCGAGACGAACUGCCGCGAAAGCAUUCGGCAAGGACGCUUUCAUUAAUCAAGAACGAAAGUCGGGGAUCGAAGACGAUCAGAUACCGUCGUAGUCCCGACCGUAAACGAUGCCGACCGAGGGCCCGGAGGAGUUACGUACGACCCUCCGGGCCCUCCGCGAGAAAUCAGGAGUAUUCGGGUUCCGGGGGGAGUAUGGUCGCAA